GUGGAGGAGCCAGGGAAUCUGAGUCUCCUGCUCAGAGCCUUGUGGACCAGGAGCCUUGAAGUGAGAUUUCCAGCCCCACUGAGCCAACCUCAAACUGCAAUGUGUGCAGAGAUCCAGAGAUGAAGCUUCUGACCAAGGCCUGAAUCCCUGAGCUGCAGUGGGGAAACCAUGGCUGGUGCAGCGCCCUGGCUCUCUCACCUAACUCAGUCUGAGGGGUGUUCCUAGCUGGAUGGGAAGGGUGAAGAUUGUCUGUGGAUUGUGUGUCACCAAGCAUUGUAAAUAACAAUGACCUACAAUCAGUAGGUUUGCUCUUUGAGGCACUAUCAGUAAGUAAUUCUGAAAUACAUCUGUGUAAUAUAGGCUUAGACAAAUGGGAAAGUAUAUUAAAGGAAAUGAAACCUGGGUUUCUCAUAGUUGGAAAUGUUAGCUACAAAUAUGAAGGGGAAGAUUAAGAUGUUUGCUUUGAAAACUCAGUAGCAGUGAGCACACCAGUGACUAGAGGUUGAUCUGUAAAAUGCUUCAUUCAACGGAACUAGAGGUCUUUAGAGAAAAGGUGGCUUCCAGG
This 565-nucleotide long non-coding RNA is filed under the name Marmota monax (woodchuck). The record is from RNAcentral. Lineage: Eukaryota; Metazoa; Chordata; Mammalia; Rodentia; Sciuridae.